ACGCUCGACACCUACGGGGGGCAGCAGUGGGGAAUAUUGCACAAUGGGGGAAACCCUGAUGCAGCGACGCCGCGUGGAGGAAGAAGGUCUUCGGAUUGUAAACUCCUGUUGUUGGGGAAAAAGAGGAUGGUACCCAACAAGGAAGUGACGGCUAACUACGUGCCAGCAGCCGCGGUAAUCUGAGGCGGGCUGGCAAGGC
This 199-nucleotide ribosomal RNA is filed under the name uncultured bacterium. RNAcentral describes it as "partial 16S ribosomal RNA". It matches the Rfam family "Bacterial small subunit ribosomal RNA", at positions 328 to 539 of the family's 1533-position model. The record is from RNAcentral.